UGGUGGGUUGCCUUGUCAGGUUGAUUCCGGUAACGAACGAGACCUCAGCCUGCUAAAUAGUGACUUCUGCUUCGGCAGUUGGCGCACUUCUUAGAGGGACUGUUGGCGUCUAGCCAAUGGAAGUAUGAGGCAAUAACA
This 138-nucleotide ribosomal RNA is filed under the name uncultured eukaryote. RNAcentral's name for it is "partial 18S ribosomal RNA". It matches the Rfam family "Eukaryotic small subunit ribosomal RNA", at positions 1299 to 1458 of the family's 1831-position model. The record is from RNAcentral.